This 877-nucleotide ribosomal RNA is filed under the name Enterocytospora artemiae. RNAcentral's name for it is "SSU rRNA". It matches the Rfam family "Microsporidia small subunit ribosomal RNA", at positions 406 to 1301 of the family's 1311-position model. Lineage: Eukaryota; Fungi; Microsporidia. The record is from RNAcentral.
UAAUACCGACUNCNAGAGUGUCUAUGGUGGAUGCUGCAGUUAAAAAGUCCGUAGUUGUAUAUGCAAUUGAAGGGCACCGGUCAAGGGUGCAGGGUUUGCUAAGGAUGGCGGAACGGGCAGAGUGCAUAGUAUAGGCGGGCGAGAGAUGAAAUGACCAAGACCCCGCCUGGACUGACGGAGGCGAAAGCGAUGCACUUGAACGAGUCUGGGGAUCAAGGACGAAGGCUGGAGGAUCGAAAGUGAUUAGAUACCGCUGUAGUUCCAGCAGUAAACGAUGCCGACAAGCAGGACACGGGAGUGUUUGCUGGGAGAAAUCAUAGUUUUCGGGCUCUGGGGAUAGUACGCUCGCAAGGGUGAAACUUAAAGUGAAAUUGACGGAACUACACUACCAGGAGUGGAUUGUGCGGCUUAAUUUGACUCAACGCGGGAAAACUUACCAGGACCAAGCAGCGCAGAGAUCGACUACGUGAGCGCAGCAGGAGUGGUGCAUGGUCGUUGGAAAUUGAUGGGAUGACUUUCAGCUUAAGUGCUAUAAUCAGUGAGAUCUUUGGAGACAGGUGCAGAAUGGCACAGGAAGGAGAAGGCGAUAACAGAUCAGUGAUGCCCUCAGAUGCCCUGGGCGGCACGCGCAAUACAAUACUCGAUGUUCUUGCAGAUGGAUUUUGGAGUGCGAGGGAUUAGCUCUUGUAAAUGAGCUAUGAACGAGGAAUUCCUAGUAACGAUGAUUCAUUAAGUCAUGGUGAAUGAGUCCCUGUAGUUUGUACACACCGCCCGUCACUAUCUCAGAUGGUUAUGGAGAUGAAGAGCCCCGGUUCUGAAUAGUCAUAGCUAGAUAAGGUACAAGUCGUAACAAGGUUGCGGUCGGUGAACCAUUAGC